CGCGUAGGCGGUUUUGUUAGUCGGAUGUGAAAUCCCCGGGCUUAACCUGGGAACUGCAUUCGAUACUGCAUAACUAGAGUAUGGUAGAGGGAAGUGGAAUUUCCGGUGUAGCGGUGAAAUGCGUAGAUAUCGGAAGGAACACCAGUGGCGAAGGCGACUUCCUGGGCCAAUACUGACGCUGAGGUGCGAAAGCGUGGGGAGCAAACA
RNAcentral lists this ribosomal RNA (207 nucleotides) under uncultured bacterium. RNAcentral describes it as "partial 16S ribosomal RNA". It matches the Rfam family "Bacterial small subunit ribosomal RNA", at positions 568 to 774 of the family's 1533-position model. The record is from RNAcentral.